Cynoglossus semilaevis (tongue sole) is the source of this 2573-nucleotide long non-coding RNA. RefSeq lists it as uncharacterized. Lineage: Eukaryota; Metazoa; Chordata; Actinopteri; Pleuronectiformes; Cynoglossidae. The transcript has 5 exons. The record is from RefSeq and is a predicted model, not a curated record.
UACAUAAAUGUCUGAUUACUUGAAUUAAACAUUAGUCACUGUUAUUCACAGUGAGUCUGUUUUUAAACUUUGUGGAACCAUCAGCCAGGCUGUGACUGGGGGCAGCUUUUGUUUCCUCUUUUCACCCAUUUUUUGUUUUUGUGUAUCAGCUAAUCUUGUGCUAAAAAUGGAAAAGCAAAUUUUCUCUUGGUCCAGGAUGUGAUUAUACUACAGGAGAUUUUUUUAAUGUUGUGACCUGACACAUGUACAAACCUAAUUUACUGUAAUACACCUAGGAUACACACUUUUGGAGCUUAUCGGUAUACUGUCUACCAAAUUCAGACCCUGAUAUAUACUUUUUUUCUUCUUGACGUCUUCUUAUAUUUUUUACCCAUGCAGAUGCACAACAUUUCACAGUUAUUUUUUCAAGAUUGCAGAUUUACAGAAAAGAAAAAUGUAAAAUGGUUUUAACAAGGAUUGCACUACUUGGAUGUGUUCUUUGAGACAUUUUGUAGCUUUCUUAAAGGCCUGCCCUAUUUACAUGUUGAUCUGGAUAUAAAAAAAAAGAAGAUUCCUGUACAUUUUGUUUUCAUGACUACAAACGUAAGACUACUGCCUUGGUAUGGAGUGAGUUUGAGUAUACGUGCAGUAGUAUUGGUUGGUGAAACAGCUGCUUUCCAGAUGUCAGUGCAUGGUUGGCAUCAUAUGGCCUCAGUGAUACCUACAGACAAGACAACAACAGCGACAGUUUGUCUUUUUGUUCCAGCUGCACAGGUUGAGUCCAACAGUUUCCAGCAGCCGCUCCUCCUUUGUCUUUUCUUUGAAACAGUGUGAUUUCACACACACACACACACACACAUCAGUCUAUCUCUGACACAGGCAGAAGUCAAACCAAGAGUCAGCUUCCUCUAUUCCUGUCAUUUUAUGACCUCAACAUUAUAACAAGGAGACAGAAAAGGAAGUGAAAUAAGGCCACUGAGCAAAAGUUCAAAGCGAUGAUUCUUGACCACAUGGAAGUGAAAAAUGUAAUGAUUAAAAUGGACAACUGUUUGACUAUUUAUUGACUAAUAGUUCAAUACAAUCACACAGGAAGUUUACUGAAAUGGCACACAGAUGUCAGCAGAGGGAGAAACAGACAACACCAUAUUAAAGAUGUUUUUUUUUUUUAUCUCUUCUCAAAUCCACGUCUAACACCAUAAACCAUUUGUUAACAAAUAUAACUUCUGCCAAAUGUUCAGAUUAUUUUUUCAAACCUUUGUAUAAAAGAAUUUCCCUACGGGGAUUGAUAAAGUAAUUCUGAUUCUGAUUUCCGGAUGUGGAGAGAUGAUUCAGCAGUGAGCCCAAAUAGUUAUUUUGGAAAAUGGAUUAUUAUUGGUAGAGAUAAUGUGGUGAAUCAUGAGACGUGAAUCAUGUCACAAUGCGGUUGAAACAUCGCCAUAUACAGGCCUGGCAUAUGUACUACAGGGACCGGAGUCGUAUUUAAAUUUGCUCUUAGACGCAGAUUUUGUUUGUGGGCUGUUCCUUCAGAUAUGCAUGUGUACAAAUGGAAACCCGCGUGAAUACGCCCAUAAAAUGCAUCUAAACUAUGCCUAAAUGUCUUCUUAUUAACGAGUCUUCGUCACCUUCAUCCUCCUGCAACUUCAAUGCACCGCAAUCAGUGUUUUUCCGGUGUACUUACGUCACAUAGAGGCGACAGAACAGGCAAAGAAAAAGAAAAACAAACAAACAAAACGGUAGCGGCGUGUGACGUCAGACGCCGAAAAAGUUUGCUUUUAAAAGCCACAAGUGUACGAAGGUUUAGCUAAAUGACGGCUCGACCUGGUCCGGAUGGAGAUUCAGAGAGAAACGAUUCGUUGGGAGUUCUGCGCACGGAGACCAGGUCGAAGUUGUCCAGUGUCAGAGUACACACCUGAAACUGAAAGACAAGAUUGGUCAUCCUGAAGAUCUUCAACACAACUAUGUCCAUGAAGCCGUACAUGCAGUAACAUAUCUGGAAGAGAAGGUCCUGACGCUGCCACUUGGCGGAGGGGCUGAGAGAAGACCACACCAACCAGGAGAUGCUGGCCAGGAGGAACAGGGAGCCCAGGACAAUGGCUGCUAUCUGCACCUUCUCAAUCACAGUCAGAGAGAUGGACUGCCACUGUACAGGGAGCGGCUGCAUGUUCUGUCAGACGAGGAUUCAGUGCUGCUGCUAAUGUGAGAACUGCAAUACUCAGUAUUCACCUAACAUCUAAUCGUCGUCCUUCGUGGUGAGUAUUUGGUAUCUAAGAACCCAGUGUCUGUGCAAAGGAGAAAUAUUCCACUAUUAUUGUGAAGAAAAAAAGCACAGUGUGUGAGCUGAAAAUCUGUGUUUCAUAAAGAGGGGAAUUACACAACAGAGACCCCAGAUUGUUCAGUUUAUUCUUUUUUUUCUUUCUUUUCAGCCAGAAUAUUAAAAGAUACACUUUUAUGGAGUGUGCUGUUGGUGUCACAUUCAAAAUAUUUGCUUAAAAUUUAACACAAGUACCCGGAGAAACAUUCAAUAUAUUUAAUCCCUCUGUCAAAUUGAAACAGAUGUUCCAGUGAAUUCCAAAUAAACAGAUAUUUUUGCAGUG